RNAcentral lists this ribosomal RNA (465 nucleotides) under Vreelandella stevensii. RNAcentral's name for it is "partial 16S ribosomal RNA". It matches the Rfam family "Bacterial small subunit ribosomal RNA", at positions 338 to 795 of the family's 1533-position model. Lineage: Bacteria; Pseudomonadati; Pseudomonadota; Gammaproteobacteria; Oceanospirillales; Halomonadaceae. The record is from RNAcentral.
CCUACGGGGGGCAGCAGUGGGGAAUAUUGGACAAUGGGCGAAAGCCUGAUCCAGCCAUGCCGCGUGUGUGAAGAAGGCCUUCGGGUUGUAAAGCACUUUCAGUGGGGAAGAAAGCCUUGGGGCUAAUACCCUCGAGGAAGGACAUCACCCACAGAAGAAGCACCGGCUAACUCCGUGCCAGCAGCCGCGGUAAUACGGAGGGUGCGAGCGUUAAUCGGAAUUACUGGGCGUAAAGCGCGCGUAGGCGGUCUGAUAAGCCGGUUGUGAAAGCCCCGGGCUCAACCUGGGAACGGCAUCCGGAACGGUCAGGCUAGAGUGCAGGAGAGGAAGGUAGAAUUCCCGGUGUAGCGGUGAAAUGCGUAGAGAUCGGGAGGAAUAACAGUGGCGAAGGCGGCCUUCUGGACUGACACUGACGCUGAGGUGCGAAAGCGUGGGUAGCAAACAGGAUUAGAUACCCCGGUAGUC